RNAcentral lists this long non-coding RNA (225 nucleotides) under Lathyrus oleraceus (garden pea). RNAcentral's name for it is "Pisum sativum (pea) long non-coding RNA (PSAT_LNC022687)". Lineage: Eukaryota; Viridiplantae; Streptophyta; Magnoliopsida; Fabales; Fabaceae. The record is from RNAcentral.
UAAACUAAGGUCCUUGGCUUCUGCGGAACAUGAUUGAAAGAAUAAUGCCUAACCACAAAUAACUUGUGUGACAUUAUUAGUUCAACAUGACCUCCACCAAGUGAAUGGACUCGCAAGUCAACUGGCUAAGGACUACUCCACACCAGUCAACAAGACUAUGCCAUUCUCCUAUCCUAGAGAGCACUCGAGUUCGGGUAUAGAACUCAUCUCACAGAUCACCAAAGC